This 6563-nucleotide unclassified non-coding RNA is filed under the name Hevea brasiliensis (rubber tree). Lineage: Eukaryota; Viridiplantae; Streptophyta; Magnoliopsida; Malpighiales; Euphorbiaceae. The record is from RNAcentral.
GGCAUAUUGAAUAAAAAUAAUACCAUGAAAUUUUUGCUAUAUAAUUAUAGACAAAAGUAAAAUGGAUAGAGUUGAAAAUAAGAGAGUUUGAUGCUACGUAAAAUGAAAUUCCUUGAAUUAGGCAGAAGAAUUUACUCCCUACAAAAGGAAAGUGAAACCCAUCAACUUCUUGAAAAUUUAGACCUUAGAAAAUAAGUUGAUCAAGGAAAUUCGAGUUCACUUAAAGUAUGAAAAUCUAUAUUAUUUAAUUGGUAUUUUAUCUCAAUUACUUUCGUCCCAAAGUUAUAUUCUUUGGCUGAUGCCUCAGCUGACUUCCAAGAACGUAAAAAGCCCUUCUUAACUUCCUGUGCUGAUUUCCAUACACAUUUUCACCAUCACCACCCCGUUACAAGGGUUUAAAAAAAUAUAGGCAACAUCGGCUACGAAAUUCUUUCAACUGCCUCACUUAUACGUGGAAACCGAUGAGCCCACCGUGAAAAUCCUGAAAUCACAAUCUCAAGAAGAUCCAUUUCUGCUCUGACAGCAUCAGACACGCCCCGCUUAGAGAAAGCCAAACUUCUUGCAAUGAGCUGAGAAAGACGACCGAGUGAACUUAUAUCGAAAUUAGGAUGAUUCAGAAGAGCCUCCUCUGACGUGUAAUCAAAUAGCAGUGCACAAAUACUUGAAGCCAUCAUAAGAACAGAUGGGUCGUUAGCAUCCUCUGCCCAAUAUCCCAAGGCCAUCAGAAGAUUGACAACAGUUGAUUCAUCCAUUGAAAAUUGCACUUGCCCUUUCUUCAAAAGCAAAUUCAACAUUGUAUCACAUGCCAAGAAGAUGCAACUAUCAUCUUCAACUGUAUAGCAACUAGGCCCAAUCACUUUUACAAGGCAUUCAACAACAGCUUUAUAACACCCAGAAGAAAUUAAAGCUUUACAUCCUUCAAUCUUCAUUGUAAUUUGACAAAGCAUUGGAAGUAGAAAGCAUAUAGAGUAAAAAGGGCUUGAUUCAUCAUCUGCUUCAAUUGAUAACAUAUACCCCAAAAGUUCUGUGACUUUAUCUUUGAAAGCAUCUGGUGUUUCUGCAAGAUAACUCCCAACAACCCGUACAGAGGCAAGGAGGUCAUUUCCUUUAUUUUGACCAUGUUCCUUUGCAUCCUUUAGGUACUCUAGCACUACACUGAUUGUCUCAUUAAGCCCAUUGAUCACCUUUAUGAAAGUGUUUUCACCAAUGAGUUCCCCUUCAUUUCCAGUCAUAGCUGAAAUUAGUUUGAUUAUCCUCUCUACCAAGGAAAAGGCGACAGCCACAUUUUGUUGCUUUAAGAGAAUAGCUUCAGCAGUUGUUGAGGUAUUCUUGGAAGCUUCAUACUUCAAAUAGGCCAGCUCAUUGAGCAAAACAUCAACUUCAACUCUUGAUGACUCCAAGACAAGCAAUAGACACCUGUCAGCUGGCACGGGAUCUUGUAAAUCAGGUAAGCUUGACUGACCAAUCACCCAGCUUUCCCCCAAUAUGGACACUAUAGAUUCAGCCAAAAUAAGGGCAUGAAGCUUCUCAGAAGGUGCCACUCGAUUCUGUAAAAUAGCAACAAUGCCAACACGCAUGUAAUCUGGCCAAUUGUUCCCUGCCAUCACACGCAGUGCAUCAUGAAGCAGUUGCGAGUACUUUGAUGAGAAGAUAUAUGAAAGCAAGUGAAGUGCUUCAAAUUUCAAUUCAUUAUGCAGCACAGCAAAUUGCCUUGCUAUUGGCACCACCACCAUUGGCAGCUCAGAAAGGCAGUCAUUCGUAAUGGAGUCCUGAGACAACUUACUUAGCAUAGAUUGUACCAUUUUCAUAGCAAGCUCCAUCAUAUGAGAACCGUCAGGCAAAGUACACAUUUGAGAAGCUAACAAUUUCAUGCCUCCAUAAUCAUACAAUGUCAUGGCUCCAUCCUCACAAGACACUGUUACCAGAUAUAAGAAUUCAUAGCAUUCUUCCAGAACAGGUGAAUUCGAUUUUGACAUUAUUUCCAGUAUGACUGGAAUCUUCAAAACCAUAUCUUCUGAUGAGGCAAUUUCGGGAACUCGACAAAAUGCUGCAAGAACGGUAACGGAUAGCUGCAAAUAUGCAUCGCGGUUAUCGGCUCCAUUGCCACUUACAGUUCCUUUACCCAUCCCAGUCCUCAAAAGCCUACCCAGAAAUUGAAUUCCGACUGCAUCAUAAACUUUACGGAGAGAAGCAACAUCGUCUCCUUUGCAAAAUUUGGUGACGAGAAGUAGGCCAGCAAGGCGUUGCUCGUCUCUCUCGCCUUUCAAUAGCUUCAAGCAAUCGUCAAGUGACGGAGAUUGCCCUUGUUCCUGUCGUGACUCCUGCAAGGAGAGCAGGGAGUGUAAAAGUAAUAUUUGAGUGAAGAAAAAGGAAGAGAACAGAAGAGAGAAAGAGAGAUUAGCAAACCAUGGACGCUGAGUAAUGAAGGCGAACUCGAUGACUGUGCACCUGGGUCCUGAUUCCUAGAUCUAAAAUAAUCCCCACCCUGAUUGUAGCAAGUCCCAAAUUCGAAACUGGGAAGGAAGGCACAAAUCAAACACUAACAGUGCUUGCUUAAGCGGUACUCUCUCUCUCUCUUUAUCUCCCUUGGUGCUUGGUGCUUCUACAGGUAUGAGCAUGCCUUCUUUGUUGCCCAUCUGCAAUUGGCAAACCACAUAAUUUUGGUCUCUUAUGGGCGAUAAAAGAAAUAGAUGGAAUUUUGUUUAGCCGAUAAUACAAUUUGCUGAUUUACUAACCCUUGAAUCUUGAUCACUUCUUUCAUCCAGUGAGUGCUUUCUUAAAUUUUAUUGAUAUUGUACUCAUAUUGAAAGCAACUGUUUGGUUCUGUGAUUUCGGCAGGUAUUCAGCAUAAUAGUUAAGGAAGAGCAAUGCUUUUGUGGGUUGCAUUUGAUCUUACCAUUUGUCUAGAUGGAUGCUGUACUAUGAUGUUUUUGCUUGCAUGUUAGUUGCAGUGACAGAAAGCUGUAGCUUUUGCAAUGUUUUCUCAAGAUAGUGUUACUAGGUAGUACCUUGAAAUUUUUAAGCAUUUGUAACAAUGCUGAGAUGUAUUAUCCUAAUCUUUAUCUCAUUCUUGCUCUAUCCUAAUUUUUUUCUGAUUCAGUAGGUAAACUUUUCGAGGAUCAUGGCUCUACUAAAUAGAAUUAUUCCAACUUUGCUCUUCAGGUCGGUCAAGAAUUCUGGCAAUUCAUGUCUAUAUAGUCCUCGGUUAUUGGUAAAUCGAUUCCUUGCUAAUGAUGCAAAUACAGUUGUAAAUGCCAUAUGUGAUUCAUUAAGGAGAGGCAAUAGUUGGGACGUUCUGAGUAGAAAUUUUGAUUCUGUUGAGCUUAAUGAUUUGCUUGUUAAAAAUGUAUUGCUCGAAUUGAAGGAACCAACUGAUGCGAAAAGGGCACUAGGAUUCUUCCACUGGUCAGCUCAGAGAAAGAACUUUGUCCAUGAGGUUCAGACUUACUGCCUCAUGGUUAAUAUAUUAGUUCGAGCACAAUUGCUUAUGGAUGCUCAAGCAUUGCUUGAAUCAGUUUCGAAGAAAAGUGUGGGAGAUUUUUCAAAAUUUGUAGUUGUGGAUUCCUUACUUAGUAGUUAUAAGAUUACUAUCUCAAGUCCAUUGGUAUUUAACUUGUUGGUUCAGGCUUACGCUAAAUUAAGACUGUUUGAGGUCGGCUUUGAAGUCUGCUGCUACUUGGCGGAUCAUGGGUUCUUUGUGAGCCUAACAAGUUUCAACAUUUUGAUUCAUGUGGUUCAAAAAUCUGAUAAAAGCCCCCUGGUCUGGAAGAUUUAUGAACAUAUGAUUCAGAGAAGAAUUUAUCCAAAUGAAGCAACAAUCAGAAUCAUGACCGAUGCUUUAUGCAAGGAAGGGAAGUUACUUAUAUAUGUGGACAUAUUGGAUAAGAUCCAUGGAAAGAGAUGCUCCCCUUUAGUGAUUGUUAAUACUUGUCUGGUCUUUAGGAUUUUAGAGGAAGGAAAAAUUGAAGUUGCUAUGGCUUUAUUGAAGUUGAUGCUACAAAAGAAUAUGAUUCUUGAUGCCAUUGCUUACUCUUUGAUUGUUUAUGCUAAAGUGAGGCUUGGAAAUUUGGACUCAGCAAUGGAGGUCUAUGAGGAAAUGCUAAAGCGAGGUUUCAUUGCAAAUUCAUUUGUGUAUACUUCAUUUAUAGGUGCUUAUUGUAAUGGAGGAAAACUUGAAGAAGCAAAUCAGUUGAUUGAGGAAAUGGAAAACAUGGGCUUGAAGCCAUAUGAUGAGACUUACAACUUUCUGAUUGAGGGGUGUGCCAAGUCAGGAAGAGUAGAAGAAAGUUUGAGUUACUGUGAGAAGAUGAUAGAGAGAGGACUUCUUCCUAGCCUUUUGGCUUUUAAUAAGAUGGUAACAAAGCUAUGUGAAACUGGGGCAGUGAAGCAAGCAAAUGCUAUGUUAACUCGUUUAUUAGAUAAUGGGUUCUUACCUAAUGACAUCACAUACUCUCAUCUUAUUGCUGGUUAUGCGAGAGACAACCAGAUUCAGGAAGUUCUCAAACUCUACUAUGAAAUGGAGUAUAGAGCACUCUGUCCUGGGUUGCUUGCUUUCACUUCCUUGAUUAGGAUUCUUUGUCAUUGUGGAAAGCUAGAGCAAGCGGAAAAGUACUUGAGAAUUAUGAAAGGUCGUUCCCUAGAUCCAAGUGAGGAGAUUUACGAGGCAUUGAUCACUGGCCACUUUGAGAAGGGUGAUAAGACAAGAGCUCUUCACCUUUACAAUGAGAUGAUUUCUAAAGGAUUGAAGCCUUGUUGCCCAUGUGAUUUCGGUGUUGGCACUGAGUUUUGCUAAUUUUGGCUAGGAUCUUGGAGCGAUAUCAUGUAUUGGUGAACAAAUACAAAAAAGAGAAACAAGUGUAAUUAUGAACUACUUUUUACUUGUCCUAAUUGGAACCAUAUCGUGCAUCAGAACUUUUACUUUUGUCGAGUAUUUGCCAUGAACUCUUCUCCCCUGUGGCCCCACAGUCCACACUUGGGCAUAAUACAAAAAAGGAGGGGCUUGCUUUCUUUAAUCUCUUGAAUUCCUAGGAUAUCUUCUGUUAUUGAACAAAGGGCUCCAGCUCUAAGUUCGAUUGUGCUACUCGACAAACUUUGUGCAGAUGUCUUAUAUUUGAUUCUGAUCCGUGGAUUCUUCAAACUGGCUAAUUUAUAAACAGGCACUCCCCAAAAGGAAAGAAGCUCUUAUGGUAUCCUCUUGGCCUAGAAAUCGCUUCCAUGAAAUGCUUACUCAAGAAAAAAAGUUAGCAAAUUUCCAAGCAUCGGUGAGUUCACAACCUUGCUUUGCUUCUGACAAAUCCACAGCCCACAUACACCCUAUCAUAUUGUAAUAUCAUAGUUAUUAUUUCUUUGUUUCUUUUAUAAUCAAUGAAUUCCUCUUCAUUUGUCAAUCAUACUAGAGCAAUCCAGAAUGAUCACUUACAGUUUAAUUAAUUAAAGCCAUAUGAUAACAAAUUUACGCGGGUAUUUUAACGUCAAACCGCUCCCACGCUCUCCCCACGGUUUCUUUUCAACUUGUACACUGGAACUAUCAUCCUUAUCUACGCAUCUCUUUCUAUCACCACCCAACUUUAUAUAUACACUCUUUCUCAAUUCCCAACUUUCUCAUCUCAUCACUUAAAAUCUUACAGAUACAACGAAAACCUGAAAAUGGAGAUGCCAAUGAUUAAGGAGUGCCCCUCACCAUCCCUCAAAGACAGGCUAAAGUCCUCCAUUAGCUGCUUUGCUGCUCAUAACAUUCCUGAGAGCCUUGGCUCCGACGACGGAAGGAGGUCACAGACUCCGAGACCUUCGUACGCUUGGUUGAAAUCCACGGCUCAUGAUCUCGAGAUCAGAGACAAGUGUAGGGGCCUGAUUGGGAGAAGAGGUAAGAACCGAAGGCGCUAUUAUUCUUCCGAUUUUAAAUACGAUCCUACGAGUUACUCGCUCAAUUUCGAGGAUGAUAUUAACCAAGAAGAUGAAUUGCCGAUCCAUAAUUUUAUGGGGAGACAGCCAGCCACCCCAAAUAGUUGCUAGCGGUAGCAGCGCCUAUUUGUGAGCUCAUUGCUUGGACAUGAUUGAUAAUGAGAUCUGAUUUUGGUGUUAUAUGCAUAUACAUAUAGAUUGAGUUUUCUAAUAUCGUUGUUGUAAUUGUAUGUACAAGAAUCUAAUCACUGAAUAUAAAAAUUAAAAACAAAAAAUUCUAAUCCUGUGUAUAUGUAAAUUACUGUAUGUGAUCCUUUGAUUCUAAAAAGCCUAGCUUGCUGAGACGCUAUGCUUCUCGCUAAGCUCAAAGGUUUCUGAAAGAUCCAAGUUGAAGAGGACUCCUUAUCAGUCAUCCACGGUCCCGGAGGAGCAAUGGUUGUCUGGAUAUCCAAGGCAUUCUGCUUGAUAUCUCUAGCUUAGCUCGUACCAUUGAAGAAGUCUCCUAUUCCUUUGUUCGUCGGGCUGGCAACAAAGCAGCGCAUAGCUUGGCUUCGCAGGCCCUUCAGGACCCAUAUUUUCUCUAUAAAUCCUCUGGGCCCAAUUCAUUUUGUGUUAUCUGAUAUGCCCAUUUAUGGCCCUUUUAAUGAAUUUCUGCAAAUUAA